This is a non-coding RNA of Phrynosoma platyrhinos (Desert horned lizard), 72 nucleotides long. The record is from the annotation of a GenBank genome assembly. NCBI's taxonomy places the organism in Eukaryota, Metazoa, Chordata, Lepidosauria, Squamata, Phrynosomatidae.
GUCAGCAUGGCGUAGUGGUUUGAGUGUUGGACUAGGACUCUGGAGACUGGGAUUCGAAUGCCGAUUCAGCUA